Molecule: non-coding RNA, 907 nt
Organism: Pangasianodon hypophthalmus (striped catfish)
Lineage: Eukaryota; Metazoa; Chordata; Actinopteri; Siluriformes; Pangasiidae
Source: the annotation of a RefSeq genome assembly
CACACACACACUUUGCAUUGGCAGUCCAUGCUUCAGUGCUCUGCGAGUGUUUAUAGCCCUGUGACUUUAACACUUCAUGACUGAGAGCUGCUGCUCAGCAACUUCACCCACAGCAACCAUGACUUUGAUCAGCGUCUUCAUCUGCACACUGGUCCUCUGGACUCAAGGAUCCAGAGCUCAGGGGACUGUGACUCAGACUCCUUCAGUGCAAACUGUUGUUCCAGGAAACACAGUCGCCAUCAACUGUAGGUUCAGUAACAGUGUGGAUAGUGGUACCAGUGUACACUGGUACCUGCAGAAACCUGGAGAAGCUCCUAAACUCCUGAUCUAUGAGACUAGUAAAUUACACUCAGGUACUCCAGCUCGUUUCAAUGGCAGUGGAUCUGAUACUGACUUCACUCUGACCAUCAGUGGAGUCCAGCCUGAAGAUGCAGGAGAUUACUACUGUAAGGGUGAACAUUAUGUCAGUGGUAGCUGGGUGUCACACAGUGUUAGAGUGUCGUACAAAAACCUCGGUCAGUGAGAGUGCACAGAGAAGCACUGCUGCAGCUGGGAGCGACUGCAGGUGCUGAGGGGGAGGAUGUGAUACAACACAAUGAUACACACUGUGGACGAGAGAAAACACACCACACUAACUCACUAAUCACACACACAUCUGUGAGAGGAGUCCACCUUUCUCAGCUGUCGAUCAUUUUUAGUAAACAUAAUAUAUUAGUGAUAGUGGAUAUGGGACGUAAACUCAUAAACUCUUAAACUCUUAAACUCACUGAAGUCCAGCUUGAAGAUGCAGGUCACUUUACACUAGUCUCCUGGGAGAAGCUUUACAACACGCAUUACGUUACACCACGGAUACAGUUUCAGUGGAUAUUUAAUGCUGAUAUAAUUUCAGUUUUUGCUUGUGCAGUCA